Long non-coding RNA from Mercenaria mercenaria, 1941 nucleotides. RefSeq lists it as uncharacterized. The record is from RefSeq and is a predicted model, not a curated record. The transcript has 2 exons. NCBI's taxonomy places the organism in Eukaryota, Metazoa, Mollusca, Bivalvia, Venerida, Veneridae.
CACACUGGCCAUAGCUUUAUCAGAUCAAGUGGUUCCAACGUUGUUUGAGCGGUGAAUUUUACGCCGAUCAGAUGGAGAAAUAUGGCCGAUACAACAAAUUUCCGGUCUUUUUGAAGUCAUGGAUUCUUACGUUUGCCCAGAAUGCGGGAAGUCAUAUAAGCAUCAGAAAACUCUAAACAGACACACAGCUUCACAUAAUGGGGACAGACCUCAUGAAUGUGCCAUAUGUGGCAAAGGGUUCUUAAGAAAAGACGUGUAUACAAAUCAUUUAAAGAGUCAUGACACGGCAAACCCUUCCUUUAUAUGCCAUACUUGUGGUAAAUGCUUCACGAGAAAAUCCACUCUUUAUCAACAUUCAAUAAUUCACGAUCCUGCAAAAAGGUACAAGUGUAGUAAAUGUGACAAAUCCUACCUCACGUCGUCAGCUCUGAGGAAACAUUCUCUAGUUCAUGAGGAGAAGAAGAAGUGCGAUAGAUGUGCCAAGCACUUUAUACAUCUAGACGAACACAUCAAGUCAUGCAGUCAAAACAUGUGUUGUGAAUGUGAUGUUUGUGGCAAAAAAUUUAAACAGAAAAGAUAUUUAAAUGAACACAUGCGGUGUGUGCACAGACAACUUGAACUCUAUGAGUGCAAAAAAUGUGGAAAUAAAUACAACCACAGAGCGUCUCUUCAUUACCAUAAGAAAAAUUGUUCAUGAGCCAGUGACUAGAUACGUUUCCAAUCUUUGUUUUAUUUUUGAAUAUCGUUUAAAACUAACUACCAAUUCUUUGACCAAUUUUACGAAGCUAUGGUGUACAUGAUUUAAAAAAAACUAUCUUUGCAUAACAAGUUACGGUAAUUUAAAGUGUCAUACAUCAAUAGUGUGGGUAUAGUACGAAUAAAUGCAAGUACCUGGUGCUUUUUAAAUGCUAAUAACGAAAUACAGGCCUUAGCUUUUAAUGUCUUUUUUUACACUUAGUGACUUAUACGAUCAUAUUUCUAUAUAACAUCUCUCUUGUAUUUCUUAUAAAAACAAUGUGACCGGCAUGUCAUUUCUUAAAAAUUUCAACCUAUUUAAUUGACCGUACAGACACAAUUUUUGAAAGAGAGUGCAAGAGUUGGCAAGUGCUAUUAUUAUAUAUUAGCAAACACACAGUACCGAUAAGGUCAUUAUUCCCCACCUCUGUGUCAUGUUGAAAAGUUGUCGUGCAGUGAAUUGAGGGAACAAGUAAGUACUGGUAGAAUAUCCAGGGACAAUCAUUUGGUAUUACCGGCACAAGUGAUUCAUCUGUCGGCUAAAUCAAUCAAGCUGCAAGUGUGUUUAAAUGUUUUACAUUUAAUUCUUACGUUUUAACAUACCAUGUUUUGUAUGUACAUGUAUCCGUUAAUCAGUAGAAGUAGGAGCAGGUAGCUCUUCCAAAAUCUUCUUUGUGACUUAUAUCGCAUGUUUUUAUGUUUAUCUCAUUACAUUUUUUGUAAAUGUAUACUCGAGUCUGAGUACUUAAUCCUUUAUACGCCCGUUUUUUAGGUAUUUUUCCGACCAGUUUGAAAGAAAUUCGACUCGUGUGUUAUAUUACAAUUACCAAUCAAGUUGCACUUUACAUAGAAAUGUUAAGUGUUUGCAGAUUUUUUCUUUCAUUUUUGUAUAAUCAUUUGUAUCAUCUCGCUGGUACAUAUGUUAAUAACAUGUAUCGUGCAUAUUUCUUAUUAAUUUCAAAUAAGAUUUCUCUCUUUGUAAACUUGUAUAUGUAUCAGAUGUUCGUUUCUCAGAGAAAACACAGUCAAAAUCGGUUGACAUUUUCAGAGUAAACACAGUCAAAAUCGGUUGACAUUUUACUCAUUGUAGUGCAUCAUCUACUUUAAAGAAACACUCCAUGUUGUGAUAUACUUUCAGAAUUAUGCCAUCAAAACACUGCAAAGAAUAAGGCAUUUCUCUUUUGAAACAAUAAAAGGUUUUCUUAA